AAUCAACGCUGGCGGCGUGCCUAACACACGCAAGUCGCACGAGAAAGGGACUUCGGUCCUGAGUACAGUGGCGCACGGGUGAGUAACACGUGAAUCAUCUACCUUCGAGUGGGGAAUAACUGAGAGAAAUCUUAGCUAAUACCGCAUAAUACCUACGGGUCAAAGCAGCAAUGCGCUUGAAGAGGAGUUCGCGGCAGAUUAGUUAGUUGGCAGGGUAAUGGCCACCAAGACGAUGAUCUGUAUCCGGCCUGAGAGGGCGCACGGACACACUGGAACUGAAACACGGUCCAGACUCCUACGGGAGGCAGCAGUGGGGAAUUUUGCGCAAUGGGGGAAACCCUGACGCAGCAACGCCGCGUGGAGGAUGAAAUCCCUUGGGAUGUAAACUCCUUUCGAUCGGAAGAUAAUGACGGUACCGAGAGAAGAAGCCCCGGCUAACUUCGUGCCAGCCGCCGCGGUAAG
Molecule: ribosomal RNA, 462 nt
Filed under: uncultured bacterium
Lineage: Bacteria
Description: bacterial SSU rRNA
Rfam family: Bacterial small subunit ribosomal RNA
Source: RNAcentral